RNAcentral lists this long non-coding RNA (1072 nucleotides) under Taeniopygia guttata (zebra finch). RNAcentral describes it as "lncRNA (ENSTGUG00000022672.1)". The record is from RNAcentral. Lineage: Eukaryota; Metazoa; Chordata; Aves; Passeriformes; Estrildidae.
UGGGCUGGAAUUUGGCCAUUUGGGGGUGAAAUUGGGGAAUUUUCGGGUGAAAUUCAGAAAUUUGGGGAUGAAAUUUGGGGAUUUUGGGAUGAAAUUUGGGGAUUUUGGGGGUGAAAUUUGGGGAUUUUUGGUGGAAUUUGAAGAUUUUGGGGUGAAAUUCAGGGAAUUGGGAUGAAAUGUGGAGAUUUUGAGGUGAAAUGUGGAGAUUUUUGGGGUGACAUUUGGAGAUUUUAGGGUGAAAUUCGGGGAUUUGGGGUGAAAUUUUGGGAUUUUGGGGUGAAAUUUUGGAAUUUUGGGGUGACAUUUUUGGGAUUUUGGGAGAAAUUUGCGGAUUUUAGGUCAAAAUUGGCGGAUUUUGCUCCAAGCACAAAGACACGAAGCCCCCGAGGGUCGUUUUUAAUCCUUUGGGGAGGGGUUUGAAGCCACAGAGGUGCCCCAGAUGCCACCAAGGUGUCCCCAGAUGUCCCCAGGUGCCACCCAGAUGUCCCCAGAUGCCACCCAGGUGUCCCCAGGCACCCCCGAGUGCCACCAAUGUGUCCCCAGAAGCUACCAGGUGUCCCCAGAUGCCACUUGGAUGUCCCCAGGUGCCACCCAGAUGUCCCCAGAUGCCACUCGGAUGUCCUCAAGUGCCACCAAGGUGUCCCCAGAUGCCACCCAGAUGUCCCCAGGUGACCCAAAGUGCCACCCAGAUGUCCCCAAAUGCCACCAAGUGUCCCCAAGUGCCACCCACAUGUUCCCAAGUGCCACCCAGGUGCCCCCAGGUGUCCCCAGGUGUCCCAAAGUGCCACCCAGGUACCCCCAGAUGUCCCAAAGUGCCACCCAGAUGUCCCCAGGUGUCCCCAGAUGCCACCAAGGUACCCCCAGAUGCCACCUAGGUGUCCCCAGAUGCCACCAAGGUGUCUCCAGGUGCCCCAAAGUGCCCCCUGAUGUCCCCAAAUGCCACCAAGCGUCCCCAAGUGCCACCCACAUGUCCCCAAGUGCCACCCCGGUGCCCCCAGGUGUCCCCAGAUGCCACCAAGGUACCACCAGAUGUCCCCAGGUGUCCCCAGAUGCCACCAAGGUGCCACUAGGU